CCCGCCCCGCCGCCGCGGGGACAUGGACUCCGACUCCUGCGCCUCCCCGUUCGCCCCGGAGGACUUCUCGCCCGCCUCCAAGCGGCACCGGACCGUGGAGGACUUCAACAAGUUCUGCACCUUCGUCCUGGCCUACGCCGGCUACAUCCCCUACCCGCAGGAGGAGACACCCCUGAGGAACAGUCCCAGCCCUCCCAACAGCACUGGAGGUACAAUUGACAGCGAUAGCUGGGAUCCCCGGUUCAAUGACAUCCCUUCUUCCGUUUCCUUGCCAGCCAAGAACAGAAAGAGCUUUAGUCAGCUUAAGCGAACAAAAUCAUACGGUUCCCUCUUCCAGCGAGCAAAACCUAGCAAUUUCCUGCCAGAGCGAAAGCAGAUUGAUAAGAUCAGGAAGAAGAAAAAACUGAAGAGAAGGGAAACAGAGGUGUCUGCAGAGGAAGACUACGAGGAGAAGCUGCUGGAGCUGGAGGCCGAGGACUCUUUUGUGGAGACUCCGAUGAGUCCCUCGUCCGAGGGCGAUCCUCAGUCUGUUACUGAACACUCCUCAGUGUGGGACUCUGACACGCCUUCCAGCGUCUCCUACCCUGCUGUGACAGCUGAGCAGACUGUGGAGAUACAGAGCGUGGGUAAAAGAACGGUCAUUCGGCAGGGGAAGCAAGUCGUAUUUCGGGAUGAGGAUGGCACCGGUGACGACGAGGACAUUAUGGUGGAUUCAGAUGACGAUUCGUGGGACCUAGUCACUUGCUUCUGCAUGAAACCUUUCGCUGGGCGGCCAAUGAUCGAGUGUAACGAGUGUCAUACCUGGAUCCACCUCUCCUGCGCUAAAAUCCGCAAAUCAAACGUCCCAGAGGUCUACAUUUGCCAGAAGUGUCGGGACUCCAAGUUUGACAUUCGCCGUUCAAACCGCUCCCGGACGGGCUCGCGCCGGCGCUUUCUGGACUAGCCGAGGGAGGGGCCGCGCCGGUGUGCUGCUUGGGCAGGCCAGCCGUGCAAAGCACAGACUCCAGCCGGGAGGUCGGGGAGCGCUCCUCCGGACUUCUGCUGCUCAGGCUAAAGGGCUGCCUGGUCUGUCUGCGUUAACAGGGAUACGGUAUCACAAAGUUGUUGAUGGCCAGGGCUGGGAAAAGCCAACUGGUUAAAACUGCUGCUAGAUACUGAUUAGCUCAAGGACAGAUUAAGCGCUGUGGGUUCAGUGGGGUUUUGUCCAGUUAAAACUAUGAAUUGGAUGAUGUUUUGGGAAUGUAUAGUACCUUUGCCACGUAUUAUUUCUCAUCCCAUCAGAAAGGAAACUGCAAACCUUCUCUGUGCUAGGAAACUCAUCCUCCAAAGAGGGAGGAGGAGGGAAGUCUGUGUGAAGAGUCUCAGAAGUAAAUGGCCAUGUGUAUUUUAAUUUUAAUGUAAUAUUGUACCUGCCCAUUUGUCCAUAUAUAUCCAUCCUAGAUAUACUACGGCUCCAUCGGAGUGAGUGUGAAUACCUACUGACCUCUUGUGAUCUGCCUCGUCUUCUGUGGGUCUGGGCAGUAGGUGAGCUGCUUUCGCAGAGUUCUGUGAUUUGGCGUUGUUCGAGUGAAAACGGGACUUUCUCCUGCUCCAAGGACUGGUGCAUUUAAAAGAAGAAAACAGUCCUCUUUCUGGACAGGCAGCGCUGGGGAUUAGUGACAUCAGGAUUCUUCUUGGAUGUCUCUUCUUACAGUGAUUUUUGUGAUUUUAUUUUGCAUGAUUGGCUCAAAUGUGAGUGUGUAUGGGGGGGUACCAUUUGCUCUGUUUCCCAGGCUGUCGGUAAGCUCUGAGGUGCUGUUUUAAGGAGACAACGACUGUUUCCCUUUUCUCAGCCCAGAAUUCGAACUUGGACUGUAAAAGGGGCUGUAGUAAACUGAGAACCUAGCAGGUCUAGCUGAGGAUUGGACCAUCUCCACCUGAAUACUACAGCUGAGUUUUUACUUUGUCGCUGCUUGUUUUUGAGACUGCAUUUGUAAUCAGAAAACCAAAAUCUUUAGCCUAUCGGUUGCAAAUUAUACAGAUAAAAGCAAAUGUGGGCUAUGCAGCUCGCAAGGUGAAGUGCAAUGAAGACCCAUCCAGUUUGGGGAGGACAAAAGCAUGCAGAGGCACCUGCCAGUGCUGCAGUCCCCUGACUGGCCUCCCUAGGGCGUUAGCCCAGGGGAAAUCUGUUCAGAAACAUGAAAGGGAGUCAAGGCUUGUACGUGAGGCCACCGAGAUGUAGAUGUUGUUCCUCAAUGACCAAACAGAUCGAAUUGUAUUUAUUGCACAAAUUAGAUUUAUGUCUUUGAGAGCGCUCUGUUAAGUUAUGCCUAAUGAACAACGCGUGCUCUGUCCCAUGAGACCGCGAGGUGAGGGGAAGCCAAUGGUUGGUAUUACAGCUGGAGCAAGACUAGCUGAACUGUAGGAGCGUGUCCACGUUACUACUGCAGAUACACCACGUUAGACCAUUGCCUUAUCUGAAUGCCGACUUACCAGGAAGCACGUCCUGGUGAUGACCAACAGUCCUUCCAGUACCCAGAGUCAGGUACUCCCCUUUAGACACGUAACACGAGGCGGCCAAAGCAUGAGGCAGACGGUACAGCACUGCAGUGCCCUGGGGCUCUACUGUGUGGGAUGCUGGGAAGUAAAAGAUCUGUCAGCCUGGAUCAGUAUGAUGGACUUGCACAACCAUACUGCUCUUUAAACUUGGUCCUUAAAAAAAAAAAAAAUCCCAUCCCACUGAGCUGCAACAGCUGACUCCUGGUUCUGAAAAUCAGCUCUCCAGCUUCUGUAAAACAAGAACGUGACUGUGGUACGCUGCCUUCUAGAAGCUAAGUGGAACCACCUAGGCAUUUGCCAAAGAUUUGCCCCAUAAGGCUGCUAACGUCUUUGCAGCCAGAAAAAUAACCAAAGUUCUCAAAUGCUGCCAUUUCACUCUGCAAACAGAAAGGCUUUGGAAGAUCCUGGUCACAAGCUAUGUAAGGGUUGGACCUGCUCUGAGUAUUGGUAUCUUUGUUUACAGCGUGUCUGCAAUUCAACUGAACCACUGUGGAAUGUGUUCCUGAAGCUUUCAUGGGAGAAAUGACAAACUGCCAAGUGAACUGUCCCUUUUUCACAGAGGUAAGGACAGGAAAAAUGCUGCGGACAAACCACUCUUGCAUGUACCAACAGGAGACCGCCACUCCCAUCUGCCUCCUUGCCCUGCCUCUGCUGUGACUAACCUGGACUGUCGCAGAGCCCUUGCUCCGUGCAAGGACAAGCACAGGGCAGCGCGGCUCCCCUCGGAAGCGAUGGGAAGCAGACGACUUGCUGGUGCCGCGGGUCCGGAGAGCGGCUGGAGGCAGCACAGGGCUCUGCGAUGGGCCCUGGCAGAGACUUUGCACAGAGUAAGAUAGGAAGAGGCUGGAUGAAGUAACUCUUCAGCAGAAGAGACCAGCCUGAGAACAGGCUCUAAUGGAGGAGACAAGGCAGUCCAUACUCCACCAUGUGGACAAAGCUCAGCAACAGCUGACGAUUAGAAAUACGCAGGGAAGCAAAAAUGGAACUCGUACAUCAACUGAAGCAGAGAAGAAUCUGCUGCAGGAGCCUUGUGCCUCGUGUAUGAAGCGCCACUCAUGGUACUCGAGAGGACUGGAAAAGCAAGAGUCUGUGAAUCUUUGCUGGGUUUAUCCUGCAGGAAAAACAAGUUAGACGCUUGUUAUGAUGCUCAGCCAGGGACAGGGAUCAGUACUAAUCUUGACGGAUUUCACUUUAAAGAGUCACAAGUCGAAAGGAUUCAGGUACAAAGUUAAAAUUCAUCUGCCCCUGGCAUGAAUUACUUUAUAAUCAGAUAUAAAGAAAAUUCUGAAGCACUGGGAGAAGAAAUAAAGGGGGAAGGCAGGGAGAACUAGAACAUCUCACUGCAUUUAACUACCGUAUGCAAAUCACUUCAUCUCUGCACGGGCAACAGUUCCGUCACUGUAAAAGCGAAAAGGCUGCUGGAACAGAGACAGUUUUCUUUGAGGACAACAAAGCUGUGAUCAGGAGAAAAGCAUCAGCUUGAAUCUGAGCCUUGGACCAGCUGCAGAACCAUCUUCAGAUGCAAGAUGUAUUGUUUCAUCAGCUUAACCGUACAGAGCUAGCAGAAGUGGAAGGCCGUCAGAGAUGGGAGUGAGUACAGAAAGACAAGGGGAGACUAUAAAAAAUAAAUCUUAAGCCUGUAUCUCCAUCUCAAAAGUUUGUAAUUUAAAGGCACUUGCUAAAAAGGUGGCUAGCAAGUGCUCCUGGAUCCUCAUUAAGGUGUUUAACCUUUUGCUGGUUAAAUUAUAGAAGGAUGGUGUCUCCCCUCCCAGGUUUCUAUGGCAUUCUAGAGCACCCAAAGACACAAACCUGUUUCACAUGGAAACUACUGGAGUAGGAACGAUGCACCCGGCUUCUUAAAGCACUAGUUUUCAAGUGCAGUAAUACCAUAAAUAUUCUGAAGUAUUUAGGCUUUUUUUUUUAGAAUCAUAUUGCUAUUUCCCUACAUUUUAAUGUAGACAACACAUAGAAAACACAUCAUUUUCAUGACAACAGGAACUGUAUCUCAGGAAAUUGUCAGAAAUUAGGAGAACUGCCUUAGCGUAUGAACUUUUCAUGAAAAGUCUUCAGUGUUGUUUGCUCCAAUAGCAACAGGGCUACUCUAAGAUUUUUCUUUGUAAUUAGCAGUAAACGUGUUGUUGCUAUUUAGCAUUUUUUAAUGCAAAUCCUUUAGUUCUCCAUACUCCUAGUGGAAGCAUUUGUUAUGUCCUAGUCAUCAUAGAAUGACUCUCUUGCUUGUACACUUUGGGCUGUGAAAGAUGUGGGAAAAAAAAAAAAAAAAAAAAAAAACAACAAUUCUGGUGGACAAUCCUGUCUGAUUCAAAUAGCUAUAGGUGGAACCACUCAGAAAAGAAAAGCAGCAGGAUGUGGAAGAGGUUGCAGUUACAUUUGUAAAACUGGCAAACCAAGCCUUGCAGAGAGGGUUUAAUUUCAAGAUUGUCCUGAAGAUGUAAAGAGAAAAUGGGCUGAUUUUCAGCUAAAGAUAAUUUAUUGCACAAUUUACAUUUAAUUUCAGAUCAGUAGAACACUAGUGAUAAGUGAAAUAAAAUCCUACAUCAGGAGCCCAUUGCAACUGAAGUUUUUUUUUUCUUUAAAAUAAAAACAAG
This is an RNA transcript of Rhea pennata, 5144 nucleotides long. It is a transcript of the gene named PHD finger protein 13, with no coding region annotated. The transcript has 6 exons. The record is from RefSeq and is a predicted model, not a curated record. Lineage: Eukaryota; Metazoa; Chordata; Aves; Rheiformes; Rheidae.